UACGUAGGGUGCAAGCGUUGUCCGGAAUUAUUGGGCGUAAAGAGCUCGUAGGCGGCUUGUCGCGUCGGCUGUGAAAACCUGGGGGCUCAACCCCCGGGCCUGCAGCCCGAUACGGGGCAAGCUAGAAUUCGGUAGGGGGAGACUGGAAUUCCUGGUGUAGCGGUGAAAUGCGCAGAUAUCAGGAGGAACACCGGUGGCGAAGGCGGGGUCUCUGGGCCGAUAUUGACGCUGAGGAGCGAAAAGCGUUGGGGGAGCGAACAGG
Molecule: ribosomal RNA, 262 nt
Filed under: uncultured bacterium
Lineage: Bacteria
Description: partial 16S ribosomal RNA
Rfam family: Bacterial small subunit ribosomal RNA
Source: RNAcentral